GACGAACGCUGGCGGCGUGCUUAACACAUGCAAGUCGAACGGAAAGGCCCUUCGGGGUACUCGAGUGGCGAACGGGAGAGUAACACGUGGGUGAUCUGCCCUGCACUUUGGGAUAAGCCUGGGAAACUGGGUCUAAUACCGAAUAUGACCGCGCUCUUCAUGGGGUGUGGUGGAAAGCUUUUGCGGUGUGGGAUGGGCCCGCGGCCUAUCAGCUUGUUGGUGGGGUAAUGGCCUACCAAGGCGACGACGGGUAGCCGGCCUGAGAGGGUGACCGGCCACACUGGGACUGAGAUACGGCCCAGACUCCUACGGGAGACAGCAGUGGGGAAUAUUGCACAAUGGGCGCAAGCCUGAUGCAGCGACGCCGCGUGAGGGAUGACGGCCUUCGGGUUGUAAACCUCUUUCAAUAGGGACGAAGCGCAAGUGACGGUACCUAUAGAAGAAGGACCGGCCAACUACGUGCCAGCCGCCGCAGUAA
RNAcentral lists this ribosomal RNA (478 nucleotides) under uncultured bacterium. RNAcentral describes it as "partial 16S ribosomal RNA". It matches the Rfam family "Bacterial small subunit ribosomal RNA", at positions 28 to 523 of the family's 1533-position model. The record is from RNAcentral.